CGCCUUGCCAGCCCGCUCAGAAACUCAAAGGAAUUGACGGGGGCCCGCACAAGCGGUGGAGCACGUGGUUUAAUUCGAUGCAAACCGAAGAACCUUACCUGGGCUCAAAUGUAUGUUGACGUAUUCUGAAAGGGAUACUUCUUCGGACAAUAUACAAGGUGCUGCAUGGUUGUCGUCAGCUCGUGCCGUGAGGUGUCGGGUUAAGUCCCAUAACGAGCGCAACCCCUAUCAUUAGUUGCCAUCAGGUCAAGCUGGGGACUCUAAUGAAACUGCCUACGCAAGUAGUGAGGAAGGUGGGGAUGACGUCAAAUCAGCACGGCCCUUACGUCCAGGGCUACACACGUGCUACAAUGGCCGGUACAAAGGGCAGCUACCUGGUGACAGGAUGCUAAUCUCAAAAGCCGGUCUCAGUUCGGAUCGGAGUCUGCAACCCGACUCCGUGAAGUUGGAAUCGCUAGUAAUCGCGCAUCAGCCAUGGCGCGGUGAAUACGUUCCCGGGCCUU
RNAcentral lists this ribosomal RNA (503 nucleotides) under uncultured Sphingobacteriales bacterium. Its description in RNAcentral is "bacterial SSU rRNA". It matches the Rfam family "Bacterial small subunit ribosomal RNA", at positions 903 to 1382 of the family's 1533-position model. The record is from RNAcentral. Lineage: Bacteria; Pseudomonadati; Bacteroidota; Sphingobacteriia; Sphingobacteriales.